GUGCUGCCGCCUAUCAGUCACUCAGUCGCCUGGAGUCGGAGUUGCUAUUUCUAGGCUUGUGCUUGUUGGGUUCGGGGUAAAUAGCCACAGAAGGCUACCAAACAAGAUAAGUCAUUGUCUCCAAGUAGAAGAAAACCAAGACCCAUGAGUGGGCAUCGGUCAACAAGGAAACGAUGUGGAGAUUCUCACCCAGAGUCCCCUGUGGGCUUCGGGCAUAUGAGUACUACAGGGUGUAUAUUAAAUAAAUUGUUUCAGUUACCGACACCACCACUGUCAAGACACCAAUUAAAACGGCUAGAAGAACACAGGUAUCAGAGUGCUGGACGGUCCCUUCUCGAGCCCUUAAUGCAAGGAUACUGGGAAUGGCUAGUUGGAAGAGUACCCUCAUGGAUUGCCCCAAAUCUCAUCACCAUCAUUGGACUAUCAAUAAAUAUCUGUACAACUAUUUUGUUAGUCUUCUACUGCCCUACAGCUACAGAGCAGGCACCUCUGUGGGCUUACAUCGCCUGUGCUUGCGGCCUUUUCAUUUACCAGUCACUGGAUGCUAUAGACGGGAAACAGGCCAGAAGAACUAACAGUAGCUCUCCUUUGGGAGAACUUUUUGAUCAUGGCUGUGACUCACUAUCAACAGUUUUUGUGGUUCUUGGAACGUGUAUUGCAGUGCAACUUGGGACAAAUCCUGACUGGAUGUUUUUUUGUUGUUUUGCUGGGACAUUCAUGUUCUACUGUGCACACUGGCAAACAUACGUUUCUGGAACAUUGCGAUUUGGAAUAUUGGAUGUUACAGAGUCCCAGAUCCUAAUUAUAUUAUUCCAGCUUCUCUCAGGAACCGUGGGGCCUUGGUUCUGGAACUUCACGAUUCCAGUGCUGAAUAUCCAAAUGAAACUUUUUCCUGCACUUUGUACUGUGGCAGGGACCAUAUUUUCCUGUACAAAUUACUUCCGUGUAAUCUUCACAGGUGGUGUUGGCAAAAAUGGAUCAACCAUAGCAGGAACAAGUGUCCUUUCUCCUUUU
RNAcentral lists this long non-coding RNA (1014 nucleotides) under Rattus norvegicus (Norway rat). RNAcentral describes it as "long non-coding RNA NONRATT016753". The record is from RNAcentral. Lineage: Eukaryota; Metazoa; Chordata; Mammalia; Rodentia; Muridae.